GCUAUCCUAGGUGACAUGCUGCCUAGAAGAGGGGGCUGGAAACCAGGAAGCUGCCUGUUUAUCUCCCUGGCAGACUUAGGUCAGGAGGUAUUACCUUGUGAUGCCCAGAAGUCAGCAUGGUGUCUGAAGGAAUACAAGGUGCCUCAGCCUUGAACCAGAAUGGGUGAGGAAAGACAUCUCUUACCACUCGGGAUCAAUGAUUCAGCUUUGCCCUGCAAGAGGAUGAUGCUAGGGAGGCUGCUUCUUGGGGGAUACAGGUGGGGAACAUCCCUGCCAAUAGGAGAGUAUUCGGGAACACUGAAUGUUUGGAAUAGACCCUCCCGUAACAGAGAAUCAACAGGUGAGCUGGUGACACUACUGUGUUAGUAGGAGUGGCUUCACACUGCUGCAGUGAAAAUCUCAAAAUCGGCCUACCUCAGUCGGCCCAGCAUACAUCAUGGGCGAUGGGAAGAUGGCCACCACUGUGCUUUCAGGAUUCAGGACUCCUUCCUCCAGCACAGCAGCAUGUUGCUUCAUACGCCACAUCAAAGGAACAUCGUCAUCCUUUGUCCAGCCACCAAGGGGGUGAAGGAGGAGGACAGGGCGCCGGUAGCCCCUCUCUAGAAGUUGCUUAUGAGUGUCCUGCAUUAACAGAGCAUGUCCAUUGUGCACUGGGUUGCGUAAUUGAAAUGCAAAGACAGCAUCUGAAAAGAGAAUUUCCAGAGUGAAGAAUUUCUAAUAUUACCUUCCACAGAAUGAGAAAUUUUUAAAGUUUGAUGGUGAGGAUUAAGAAAACACAUGCAGGGGCUGGGGCUGGGGCUCAGCAGUAGAGCACACACCUAGCUCGUGUGAGGUGCUGGGUUCGAUCCUCAGCACCACAUAAAAAAUAAGUAAAUGAAUAAAAUAAAGGUACUGUAUCCAACUACAACUAAAUAUACAUAUAUAUACAUAUAUAUAUAUUUUUUAAAAUACACAUGCAUGCUCAGAAUCAGAAAUCAGUGAAAAAUAUGUUCUGCUUUGACCGUUUGUCCUAAAGCAACAUGAUGCACACUUCUAGCUACAAUAAUAAAUAAAUCUUACAUGCCUGAGGAUAUGUAAUAUACUAGUCAUGGAUUUAUAAUAAUUACUCUCUCCAUUCACUGGAAACUAGAGUAACUGUCAGACUUUCUUUCUGGUCUUAACAUCUUACUCAAUUAUAACAGAUAUAAUUUCUUGGUCUGCGCUUCAAUUAAUUACCAGAUCAACUCCUCAUAGAACUGAAGACACUGCCUUAUUAAAUAAAGACAGAAAGGUAGAUACAUUUGUAGUUUCAAAAUCUUACUAUUCAAAUAUGCUCGUUUAUGUUUAGCACUUUGCUUACCUAGAACCCUACUUUGAACUGUGAGCCAGUGUCAGGAUUCUAGAUUAUAGUGCAGCAGCAAUAGUUCCCCUUUUUACAAGAGUCACUGAUGUUACUCAGACAAUGGAACCAACUAUAAGAUUAACAGAACUGAUUACUGUUUCCUGCUUACAACUCUGGUUUCAUUCCUACACAGUACUUGCUACCUACCAGAAGACUGAUCGUAGAAGCUACGGUUCUUUGGGGAAUGGAGUAAUUUCACAGAACAGAGACAAUCCAGUGUAGGAUCUCUGAUUUACUGCCCUUAACCCUGGCACAGCCUCCUAUGAUGCUGACCCAAGCCUGACUUAGAGAGAGAAACAGCCUCCUUCCACUAAUACUCUUUAAACCAAACAACAGACAUCUUCCUCAACUUAUUUUCAGUUCUGACGCUCUCCUAUCACCAUGACAAAGGCACAGGAGGAAGACUGUGACAAUGCACUUGACUAGGACUUUUUUGUUUGUUCAUUUGUUUUGCCACCUUUUGUAAUAGCCAAGAUUUACAGUAUUAUUAUUAUUAUUAUUAGUUCUCCAGUUGCUUUUUAUAUAUGAAGAAGGCUGAUUUUCACCAGCUAUUUCCUAAUAGCUAAUAUGACAUAAGGUACAAAGCACAGCAAAGUCCAUGAUACAAACACUUGAGCAUUCAAAAUUAUUUGCUUUAGGAUAGAGGAGGGAUAUGCAGAUCUGAAAAUUUUUCUAUCCUUCUAAAUUUGCUUCAAGUUUUAUUUUACAUGGACAUGAAAGACCCCAAAACCAUUCAGCAGAACUCCAGGGCUCGCCUAGAUUGAGAAUCAGUUUAUUCCCGAACUCUAUCAUACCAGUCUUUCAAAAAAGAAUGAAUAAAGAGUGCAUACACUAGUACUAAUACUCCUUAACUUAGAGAAUGACUAUCUGACCUUAUUCUGCCACUCUGGUUCCAGCCUAAAUAAAUCUCAUCACUAAAUUUAGUUUUAUGGCCUUUCUUCCCUCACUUUACCCUGCCUCCUCUGCAUGAAGUCUUGAACCCUGAAGUCACACUUACUAAGCAUUAAUGAGUCCUCCUCAUGGGCUAAUCUGCGUCACUGAACAGAGUGGGGGGCACAAGUCUACAGCAGCAGGAUCAAGGAAACUAGCUGGUACCUGGAGCUAACAGGUCCAAACCUGAGAGGACAACUGGUUUGACUGGAAGACCACAUACAAAGAGGUACGACAAAUAAGCCACUAAACUGAGGACAAUAAGAACAAGAUUUCUCGCAGUGGAAGAAAGGCAUAAAUACAGAAAGGAAAAAGGCCACAAUGUUCUGCCUCACCUCAAACCCUGAGGAAUGGAGCCAGCCUUCUAUGUACUGAGACCUCUAAAACCCUGAGCCCCCCAAUAUACUCUUCCUCCCUAAAAUUGUUCUCAUCAGGUCUUUCAGUCACAGCAGUGAAAAAGCUGACUAAAGCUACCCGUAAACUACAAAAACAUCAAGGUCAUGAAAGUUAAGAUAAA
Marmota monax (woodchuck) is the source of this 2828-nucleotide long non-coding RNA. RefSeq lists it as uncharacterized. The record is from RefSeq and is a predicted model, not a curated record. The transcript is spliced from 3 exons. Lineage: Eukaryota; Metazoa; Chordata; Mammalia; Rodentia; Sciuridae.